RNAcentral lists this ribosomal RNA (497 nucleotides) under uncultured bacterium. Its description in RNAcentral is "partial 16S ribosomal RNA". It matches the Rfam family "Bacterial small subunit ribosomal RNA", at positions 28 to 507 of the family's 1533-position model. The record is from RNAcentral.
GAUGAACGCUGGCGGCGUGCCUAAUACAUGCAAGUCGAGCGAACGGACGAGAAGCUUGCUUCUCUGAUGUUAGCGGCGGACGGGUGAGUAACACGUGGAUAACCUACCUAUAAGACUGGGAUAACUUCGGGAAACCGGAGCUAAUACCGGAUGAUAUUUUGAACCGCAUGGUUCAAAAGUGAAAGACGGUCUUGCUGUCACUUAUAGAUGGAUCCGCGCUGCAUUAGCUAGUUGGUAAGGUAACGGCUUACCAAGGCAACGAUGCAUAGCCGACCUGAGAGGGUGAUCGGACACACUGGAACUGAGACACGGUCCAGACUCCUACGGGAGGCAGCAGUAGGGAAUCUUCCACAAUGGGCGAAAGCCUGACGGAGCAACGCCGCGUGAGUGAUGAAGGUCUUCGGAUCGUAAAACUCUGUUAUUAGGGAAGAACAUAUGUGUAAGUAACUGUGCACAUCUUGACGGUACCUAAUCAGAAAGCCACGGCUAACUACGUG